AACCUUAUGGACCUGCGGGCGUAUACCUGCGGAGGGAUCAUUAUCAAAACAGCGGCCUUCGGGCCUUGCUGCACCCUUGUCUUUUGCGCACCGUAUUGUUUCCUCGGCGGGCUUGCCUGCCGGUUGGACAUUAUCAAACCUUUUUGUAGUUGCAAUCAGCGUCAGAAAAACAAUAAUUAUUACAACUUUUAACAACGGAUCU
Molecule: unclassified non-coding RNA, 202 nt
Filed under: soil metagenome
Description: partial contains 5.8S ribosomal RNA, internal transcribed spacer 2, and large subunit ribosomal RNA
Source: RNAcentral